GACCAGGAAAAGACAUCAUAGCCAGCUCAUUUUAAAAAUAAAUCACAAUUUAUGAAGAUUACUAUGAUGGGAUUAAAUUCAUCAACUGAAACAGUAAAAUAGCCCUAAUUCUUCCGCCAGUCAAAAACUAGUUCCAAACUCAUUGAUAUAUCUUCCUGAUCUUGGCAAAGGAAGUUCAGUAGUUACCACUUCUAGAAUUAGUGUUAGAUUUUCAAUCAUAUUCAUACACUUUUGUCAAUCAGCAAUAUCAAAGGGAAAAAAAACCUGAAUGGAAUGUGUCGAACGAAUAUCUUUAGCCUUCCUGAUGUAAUUAGGCUCAUGAAACCAUCCACUCAUCUUCUGAUUGGCGCUGAUUAGAGAGUGAGAGUCAUGUGCCCUCUAUGUUAGCUUUGGGAAAGAGAACUUCCUUCCAAACACCAAGGUCCAAUCUGGACUAAGAAAGAGGUAGACAAAGAGAGCCAAGUAAUAAACAAAGAGUGACAAAGAAAGAUGAGAAGACAAAAACAGACAAGGAGAAACAAAUUAUAGAUAGACAGAGAGGUAGUUAAGGGAGAAUCAGAAGUCAAUGAACUUGAAAUAUGAAUGACAUUUCUGAGAGCUAUUUCCAAUGAAAUAUCAAGUACUAAUCUAUUCAGCUCUAUGACCAGUCCUGCACUUUUCCACAUUAACAUGGCUAUCAUAUUAGCAAAUUUUUGCCCAUCAUACAGAAGAACGGAUGGGUUCACAUUGAUUCUUAAAUGGUUACAUUCUUAAAUGUGUAGUAUUCUUAAAGUACACACACAAAGGAAAUUCAUGAAAGUGAUGAUUAUAGACAAAUUAUAUAUGGAUGGAAAGGUCUCCUCUUUUUAUACACAAAUACACAUGUAUAUCACUAAAAAGUCUUAUAGAUGUCGUGGAAAUGCAAGAAAUGAAAUCAUUAGAGACCAUUCUCAGCCCCCAGCCGCCCCCAAACAGACAAUCACGCGGUCAAAAACAGUCAAGAAUAAUGACGUCACAUCAUCGACUCACUCAUCAUCUCUCUGUGCAUAAUACACUGAUUCACCUUCCUGGUCUCUAUUUUUCUUCGAAUUUACUGUUUUCUCCAUGGAUUGUGAUAUCUGAUUUCUGUUUUCGACAACUUCAGACUAUAAGUGAACCAGAACUGUGUUACUUUGCCCGUGUUUAUUGAAUUGUGAACUGUAAAGACAGAUUUUGUCCAUUUGACAGUCUUCGUUGUGUUGCUCCACUCCACUGUCCAGUCACUGUAUUUAUUGAAAAACUCCAAGCUGUACAGGCCCAUUCACUAGCUGCUUGCUGCUGGCCGGGGCACUGCAUGAGCGGAUGCAGGUUACGCUGUUUGAUCCAUCCACAAAAGUCAAGAUCUGCACACUUGCUGCUUCAAUCUGGGAGAUUCUAUCAUGUCCUUUAACUCAUUUGGACAUGUAGCCAUUUUUUUUUCUUCACUCUGCUAUUCAGGAGCUAUGGUUUGCAAGUUUUGGACUGAUAAUGAUACAACAGAAAAUUGAUCUUUAUCGAUCUUGGAAACAAUUUUGAGCACAGUUUUG
Molecule: long non-coding RNA, 1544 nt
Organism: Lytechinus variegatus (green sea urchin)
Lineage: Eukaryota; Metazoa; Echinodermata; Echinoidea; Temnopleuroida; Toxopneustidae
Exons: 2
Source: RefSeq, a predicted model, not a curated record